Molecule: unclassified non-coding RNA, 391 nt
Filed under: soil metagenome
Description: partial contains 5.8S ribosomal RNA, internal transcribed spacer 2, and large subunit ribosomal RNA
Rfam family: 5.8S ribosomal RNA (bases 1-122)
Source: RNAcentral
GAUGAAGAACGUAGCGAAAUGCGAUACUUGGUGUGAAUUGCAGAAUCCCGUGAACCAUCGAGUCUUUGAACGCAAGUUGCGCCCGAAGCCAUUAGGCCGAGGGCACGCCUGCCUGGGCGUCACACGUCGUUGCCCCCCCAUCUACUCCUUCGGGAUUGCGGGGGGCGGAUGAUGGCCUCCCGUGCGCUUCGUCGCGCGGUUGGCAUAAAUGCCAAGUCCUCGGCGACGCACGCCACGACAAUCGGUGGUUGCGAAACCUCGGUUGCCCGUCGUGUGCGGUCGUCGCGCAUCGAGGGCUCGAAAAAAUUGCCGGGCUCCGGCUCGGCUUUCAACGCGACCCCAGGUCAGGCGGGGUUACCCGCUGAAUUUAAGCAUAUCAAUAAGCGGAGGA